Molecule: long non-coding RNA, 962 nt
Organism: Vigna radiata var. radiata (mung bean)
Lineage: Eukaryota; Viridiplantae; Streptophyta; Magnoliopsida; Fabales; Fabaceae
Exons: 3
Source: RefSeq, a predicted model, not a curated record
CGCAGAUGAUGCUUCUGGCAUUCAGAAACAAAGAUCUAUGUAUCACUGGGAUAAGAGGAGUAAAAAGUACAUCAAGUUAAACAAUGGUGACCGAGUUGCUGCAAACGGAAAGAUAAAGACAGAGAGUGGUGCAAAAACGAAGGCCACCAAGACUGGUUUGUAUAAGAAGUGGAAAGAACGCUCGCAUCACUGAAAUUUGCGACGCUUGUCAUGGUGCACCUAAGAAGCCAGCGGCUCCACCUAGGAACAUUGAUCCGAGUUAGUGCAAGAAGCUUGAAUUCUGACUCAGACUCUAUCCACCCUGCUUCAUCUAGAUGUAAACUUAGACCAGUUACAUACCACAAUUCUUUCGCAACUGCAUUUUGUGCUCAUAAUUUGGCGAUGUAUAGGAAAACGUAUUUUACAGAACACUUUUGAAUCUGACCAAGAUGUUACAUCUAGCAACCACGUUGUAUAGCAAACUGUUGACGUUAGUUUAUUUUACAAUGAAUUAUUCUGUAGUUUUAAUUUCUUUGUCAAGUUGGUUGAUUCAAUUUCACCGCAAUUAAGUUUUGUAAAUGAUGGUCCAAGCUUGAAUGAUACUUUCCCUCCGAAAUCGUUACGUUCUUCCCAUUUCAUAUAUUCUAUUCUUAUAUGGUUUGUGUGAUUAUUGAUAUCAAACUGAUAUGCUUAAUAGCGUCAUCAACCAAUAAAACUUUAGCGAAACCUGGAUUGAUGCUUGGCCAGAAAUUUAGUACUAGUUGAUUGAAAAAACUGGUGGAGGAAAUCUAUUCUUUUCCUGCAUAACUGUUUUUCUUUUCACUUUAGCAUUGCAUGAUCGAUGGGGUGUUGUUGAGGUGGCCGUCACAUAUUGUUUGGAUUUUUUUUUUCAAAUAUGGGGAAAAUUAUUAAUCAAGAUGAACAAAAUCAAAGCAGAAUAUGGACAAUUACGACCUAAAUACUGAGAGAGCUAUAUUGCAUCA